UUUUAUUUUAAUUUAUUUAUUCUUUCCCUCUCCCUCUCUCAAUUGACACGUGUCAGACCCAUUCUUCUUCACACUUCGUGCGAGCCCUAGCGUCUCCCUCGCCUCACCAUCCGUCGACCCCCCAGGCGCUGUUGUUCGUCGUUGUCAGACCCACGUCAUGUGUCUCCUAGUCGAAACCACUGCCUACCCAGCGCUGCUCCUCCGUGCUCCGCAUGCUUUCCAGCAACUACAACAGCUGUUCCCUUCGCCUAGUCGUCCGCAACCGAGCCGUCGCGCCAGAUCCGGUCGUCCAGAGUUUGCCCAGCCGCCUGCCUCCCUUGCGCCACACUAGACGUUGCCCCAGCCGCUUGCGUCACCUCCUUCAGUCUGUUCGUCACAGCCAUCGGUUUAGGCCGAGCCUCGACGUCAGCUUCGAAGCUCGCUGCCGUUCACCGUCCCCAAGGGUUGUCGAAAUCUCUGUGAUUUUGAUUGAAGGAAUUUUAGAGCUUUGGAAGGUGCGAGAUGCUGUCCAGUAAGUGUUGUGGUCAUAUGGCAAUUUAUUGUUGACACGUGUGAAACCCCCCAUUUUUCUUCCCACUUCGCGCGAGCCCUAGCGUCUCCUUCGCCUCGCCGUUCGUCGACCCCCCUAGUCGCUGUUGUUCUUCAUCGUCAGAUCCACGCCACGUGUCUCCCAGCCGAAACCACUGCCGCUCCUCCACGCGCCGCAGGCCGUCCACGAGCCAUCCAGUGCCGCUACAGGAGUUGUUCCCUUCGCCUAGUCGUCCACAACUAAGCUGUCGCGCCAGAUCCGGUCGUCUAGAGUUUGCUCAACCAUAUCCUAGCUGCCCACCUCCCUUGCGCCAUAUAGACGCCGUCCCAGUUGCAUGCCUAACCUUCUUCAGUCUCUGUUCGUCGCAGCCAUCAGUUUAGGUUGAGCCUCGAUGUCAGCUUUGAAGCUCGUUCACAGUCCCCAACACAGAGGGUUGUCGAAAUCUCUCUGAUUUUGGUGAGUUUUCUUGAGUAUUUCAAGAUUUGGAGUUGUCAAAUUCAGAUUCUAUCUAGUGAGGGUUGUAAUCUUUUUUUUUUUUUUUUGGAUGUUAGAUUAAAGGAAUUUUGGAGCUUUGGAAGGUGCGAGGUGCUGUCCAGUAAGUGUUGUGGUCAUAUGGCAAUUUAUUGGUAAGUUUUGGUGAUUUUAACCCUUUGAGCUCUUUUGGAUUAAGGGAGAUUGUUGAAAAUUUAGUUAUUAAACUUUGGUUUUGAUUUAUGAUCAUAUUGGACAAAUAAAUUGGACUUUGGGACUAACUUCAAACCAAACCAUGAGUUUGGUAAGUUAAAUUGGGGACUUUUUUCUUUAAUUGGUUAAUUGGAUUUAGACCCCAAUGGACAAGUUUAAAAGUUUGGGGAUGCAUGAUUUUAGGCCAUUGUUGCUAAAUUAAAUUUGGCAAUGUUUGUUUUAGGAUUGAUUCAAGUUUUUUGAAGAUUUUAAAGGAGAAUAAUUUUGCGGACUAAUAUUUUUUUUACCAAGUUUGAGGUAAGUAAUCUUACUAUUGGAACUGCCCAAGUGCCAGACAUUGAUAAUUAUGAUUUAUUGAGGAUUAUUAGUUAGCAUGAUAUUUAUGUAUGCCUUCUUCGACUGAGGUUUGAAAGGACUAGAGCUAGCUAUUGAUAAUUAUGAUUUACUGAGGAUAUAUUAAUGGUUUGAUGUUUAUGUAUGCCUUGUUGGCAUGAGGGUUUAAAAGACUAGAUGUGCAUAGAGAUGUUUGAAUGCUAGUAUGAUUUGAGUAUAUUAUUAUUCUUGGAGAUCCUGCUGAAUCUGAGGAUGAUGAGAUGUCUAUGUAUGUUACAGAGCUAUGAUGAAGAAAUCUAUAUGUGUGUUAUAGAAGCAUGAUGAUGAGAUGUAUAUGUAUGUUAUAGAACCAUGAUGAUGAGAUGUAUAUGUAUAUAAUGGGACUAGGAUGACGAGAUGUAUAUGUGUGUUGUAGAACCAUGAUGAUGAGAUGUAUAUGUAUGUUAUAGAACCAUAUUAUGAUUCUUGUGAUGUUGGGAUCGUGAUAGUGUCCUCACUGAUUUGUUAGAUGCCAUUAGAGGUUGUGUGCCCUUCGGGAUUCACUAGAGGUGGUGGUUUCCUUCGGGAUCCACUAAAGGUUGUGUUUCUUUUGAGAUUCACUAGAGGUGGUGCUUUCCUUCGGGAUUCACCGGAGGUUGUGUGUCCUUCGAGAUUCACUAGAGGUGGUGCUUUCCUUUGGGAUUCACCAUAAGUUAUAUGUCCUUUGGGAUUCACUA
Molecule: non-coding RNA, 2262 nt
Organism: Benincasa hispida (wax gourd)
Lineage: Eukaryota; Viridiplantae; Streptophyta; Magnoliopsida; Cucurbitales; Cucurbitaceae
Source: RefSeq, a predicted model, not a curated record